Molecule: transfer RNA, 72 nt
Filed under: Marmota monax (woodchuck)
Lineage: Eukaryota; Metazoa; Chordata; Mammalia; Rodentia; Sciuridae
Rfam family: tRNA
About the family: Transfer RNA (tRNA) molecules are approximately 80 nucleotides in length. Their secondary structure includes four short double-helical elements and three loops (D, anti-codon, and T loops). Further hydrogen bonds mediate the characteristic L-shaped molecular structure. tRNAs have two regions of fundamental functional importance: the anti-codon, which is responsible for specific mRNA codon recognition, and the 3' end, to which the tRNAs corresponding amino acid is attached (by aminoacyl-tRNA synthetases). tRNAs cope with the degeneracy of the genetic code in two manners: having more than one tRNA (with a specific anti-codon) for a particular amino acid; and 'wobble' base-pairing, i.e. permitting non-standard base-pairing at the 3rd anti-codon position.
Source: Rfam by way of RNAcentral
UGGGUAGUGGCUCAAUGGUAGAGCACUUGCCUGGCAUGAAUGAGGUACUGGGUUCGAUCCUCAGCACCCCAU